UGGAACGUCAAUUGGAACGUAAAUAUUUUCAACAAAAUUAUUUUCAGAUCUAUAUCAGGUUGAAUUUUUCAGAACAUUUCAAUAAAACCGUUCUUUUCGUUUUGCGUGGCAAAUUUUGGAAAUCACAAACAACCAUGCCUUGAAAAAUUAUAAGUGAAAUUCAUCCGUUUGACACGUGGCGUUAGAUACAAAAAUGUCAGAGAUCAGGGGUAAUAACUUUCACGCACUUCUGGCAAUGAACGACGCACGUCUGGACUCUCUGGAAAUUCCCAAAAUGAACGUUGCGGAUCGGAUAUUGGAUCUAAAUGUCAAUGGACGUGAAAGUUAUCUCGACUGAAACGUAUUCAGCGUCGCGAUCGGGCGCGAGCGCAGCAAGGAUUAAUUAUGCGAGAAUCAAAACGACGACAGCUGUGUCGCAGCGAUGUGGCUGCGAUACGAGUUGACCUAGGCCAGUGAUAAUAAAUAUACCGGCAGUUUAAGCGCCGACACCCGCCGAGGAAGGAAAAAAAAGAUACCCAGUGAAACCGGCUUUGCUCUUAAACCCUCGACCAUCGGGGUUUCCUCACCACGUGCGUGCAAAUCUAUUCUCGAAAAUGACGUCUGCGGUCCCCACUGGGGACAGGUCCACAGUUUCCCGCCAAAACUUUUCGUCGACUUCCAACGUUGAACCUUCUCGAUCGUUCUCCGAAAGGAAAAAUUAAGCAUCUUUUAGAGAGUAAAUACUUCGUUUGGAAAAUUCAACAUCAAUGUUUUUCUCAAAGUAUUAAAGCGUGAACGUAUAAAUAGGAUGGAGAGCCUCCUCUUGGCAAGUCAAGUGUAUGGAGGUUUGUAAAUCGAUGAAAAUCAACUAGAAUAUUUUAAAAUAUCCUGUACAAUCGCGCACAUUACUUUUCUUGAUCGAAUCAAUCAAAUUUCUAGAUUUCGGACGACACGAUUGUUAAAUAAAACAAUAAAAAAAAGAGGCCAGUUACGCGACUCAUUAUUAUCGCCGGAAGAAUGACGCGAUGUGACGCAAUUCGGUGAUGCACUUCAAGGCUCCCGCUACAUCGAUGUCGAUUAACGCGAAUACUUAUUAUCUCAGUUUCGUCGUUCUAUUUUUAAGAUAAAACUACUACGUCUCUCACUCUCUCACGAAAAAAAAAAAAAAAGAAAAGAAAAAAUGGCGUCACUAAUUUAGAUUCUUACAACGCUUGAUCAAUGUCGCGCGGCGAAGCAAAUCUUGCUUAUUCACACGUGGAUUCGUCGCAUUACUUUAUACGCAUUGCCAGCGGAGAUC
Molecule: long non-coding RNA, 1276 nt
Organism: Pogonomyrmex barbatus (red harvester ant)
Lineage: Eukaryota; Metazoa; Arthropoda; Insecta; Hymenoptera; Formicidae
Source: RefSeq, a predicted model, not a curated record